UACAGAGGUCUCAAGCGUUGUUCGGAUUCAUUGGGCGUAAAGGGUGCGUAGGCGGCGCGGUAAGUCGGGUGUGAAAUCUCGGAGCUUAACUCCGAAACUGCAUUCGAUACUGCCGUGCUUGAGGACUGGAGAGGAGACUGGAAUUUACGGUGUAGCGGUGAAAUGCGUAGAUAUCGUCUGGAACGCCAAAGGUGAAGACAGUCUGCUGGGAACUUGCUGACGCUGAGACACGAAAGCCAGGGGAGCGAACGGG
RNAcentral lists this ribosomal RNA (253 nucleotides) under uncultured bacterium. RNAcentral's name for it is "partial 16S ribosomal RNA". It matches the Rfam family "Bacterial small subunit ribosomal RNA", at positions 524 to 776 of the family's 1533-position model. The record is from RNAcentral.